This 368-nucleotide ribosomal RNA is filed under the name uncultured bacterium. RNAcentral describes it as "bacterial SSU rRNA". It matches the Rfam family "Bacterial small subunit ribosomal RNA", at positions 28 to 407 of the family's 1533-position model. The record is from RNAcentral.
GACGAACGCUGGCGGCGUGCUUAACGCAUGCAAGUCAAGGGGACCCGCAAGGGUAACCGGCGAACGGGUGCGUAACACGUGAGCAACCUGCCUCAGUGUGGGGGAUAGCCGGCCCAACGGCCGGGUAAUACCGCAUACGCUCACCGAGUGGCAUCACUUGGUGAAGAAACUUCCGAGGCACUGAGAGGGGCUCGCGGCCUAUCAGCUUGUUGGUGGGGUAACGGCCUACCAAGGCUACGACGGGUAGCUGGUCUGAGAGGAUGGCCAGCCACAUUGGGACUGAGAUACGGCCCAGACUCCUACGGGAGGCAGCAGUGGGGAAUAUUGCGCAAUGGGCGAAAGCCUGACGCAGCGACGCCGCGUGGGGA